GGGUGGUGGGGAAGGGGAGAGCAUGAGGAAGAACAGCUAAUGGGUGCUGGGCUUAGUAUCUCAGUGAUGGGUUGAUCUGUGCAGCCAUCCACCACGGCACACAUUUACCUAUGUAACAAACCUGGACAUCCUGCACAU
Molecule: long non-coding RNA, 138 nt
Organism: Cebus imitator (Panamanian white-faced capuchin)
Lineage: Eukaryota; Metazoa; Chordata; Mammalia; Primates; Cebidae
Exons: 3
Source: RefSeq, a predicted model, not a curated record